RNAcentral lists this ribosomal RNA (400 nucleotides) under uncultured bacterium. Its description in RNAcentral is "bacterial SSU rRNA". It matches the Rfam family "Bacterial small subunit ribosomal RNA", at positions 356 to 773 of the family's 1533-position model. The record is from RNAcentral.
GGGGAAUAUUGCACAAUGGGCGAAAGCCUGAUGCAGCAACGCCGCGUGAGUGAUGAAGGCCUUCGGGUUGUAAAGCUCUGUCUUUGGGGACGAUAAUGACGGUACCCAAGGAGGAAGCCACGGCUAACUACGUGCCAGCAGCCGCGGUAAUACGUAGGUGGCGAGCGUUGUCCGGAUUUACUGGGCGUAAAGGAUGCGUAGGCGGAUGUUUAAGUCAGAUGUGAAAAUCCCGAGCUUAACUUGGGAACUGCAUUUGAAACUGGAUAUCUAGAGUGCGGGAGAGGAGAAUGGAAUUCCUAGUGUAGCGGUGAAAUGCGUAGAGAUUAGGAAGAACACCAGUGGCGAAGGCGAUUCUCUGGACCGUAACUGACGCUGAGGCAUGAAAGCGUGGGUAGCAAAC